Molecule: ribosomal RNA, 460 nt
Filed under: uncultured bacterium
Lineage: Bacteria
Description: partial 16S ribosomal RNA
Rfam family: Bacterial small subunit ribosomal RNA
Source: RNAcentral
CCUACGGGGGGCAGCAGUGAGGAAUAUUGGUCAAUGGGCGCGAGCCUGAACCAGCCAAGUAGCGUGAAGGAUGACUGCCCUACGUGUUGUAAACUUCUUUUAUCAAGGAAUAAAGUGAGGCACGAGUGCCCUGUUGUGUGUACUUUAUGAAUAAGGAUCGGCUAACUCCGUGCCAGCAGCCGCGGUAAUACGGAGGAUCCGAGCGUUAUCCGGAUUUAUUGGGUUUAAAGGGUGCGUAGAUGGGUUGUUAAGUCAGUUGUGAAAGUUUGCGGCUCAACCGUAAAAUUGCAAUUGAUACUGGCAGCCUUGAGUAGAGUUGAGGUAGGCGGAAUUCGUGGUGUAGCGGUGAAAUGCUUAGAUAUCACGAAGAACUCCGAUUGCGAAGGCAGCUUACUAAACUGACACUGACAUUGAUGCUCGAAAGUGUGGGUAUCAAACAGGAUUAGAUACCCCUGUAGUC